RNAcentral lists this ribosomal RNA (514 nucleotides) under uncultured Mycobacterium sp. RNAcentral describes it as "bacterial SSU rRNA". It matches the Rfam family "Bacterial small subunit ribosomal RNA", at positions 8 to 524 of the family's 1533-position model. The record is from RNAcentral. Lineage: Bacteria; Bacillati; Actinomycetota; Actinomycetes; Mycobacteriales; Mycobacteriaceae.
AGAGUUUGAUCCUGGCUCAGAACGAACGCUGGCGGCGUGCUUAACACAUGCAAGUCGAACGGAAAGGUCUCCUCGGAGGUACUCGCGUGGCGAACGGGUGAGUAACACGUGGGUGAUCUACCCUGCACUUCAGGAUAAGCCUGGGAAACUGGGUCUAAUACCGGAUAGGACCACGGGAUGCAUGUCCUGUGGUGGAAAGCGUUUAGCGGUGUGGGAUGGGCCCGCGGCCCAUCAGCUUGUUGGUGGGGUGAUGGCCUACCAAGGCGACGACGGGUAGCUGGCCUGAGAGGGUGUCCGGCCACACUGGGACUGAGAUACGGCCCAGACUCCUACGGGAGGCAGCGGUGGGGAAUAUUGCACAAUGGGCGCAAGCCUGAUGCAGCGACGCCGCGUGGGGGAUGACGGCCUUCGGGUUGUAAACCUCUUUCACCAUCGACGAAGGUUCGGGUUUUCUCGGGUUGACGGUAGGUGGAGAAGAAGCACCGGCCAACUACGUGCCAGCAGCCGCGGUAAU